CCAGACUCCUACGGGAGGCAGCAGUGAGGAAUAUUGGUCAAUGGCCGAGAGGCUGAACCAGCCAAGUCGCGUGAGGGAAGAAUGUCCUAUGGAUUGUAAACCUCUUUUGUCAGGGAGCAAAGUCACCCACGUGUGGGUGUUAGAGAGUACCUGAAGAAAAAGCAUCGGCUAACUCCGUGCCAGCAGCCGCGGUAAUACGGAGGAUGCGAGCGUUAUCCGGAUUUAUUGGGUGUAAAGGGUGCGUAGACGGGAAAUUAAGUUAGUUGUGAAAUCCCUCGGCUCAACUGAGGAACUGCAACUAAAACUGGUUUUCUUGAGUGUUGGAGAGGAAAGCGGAAUUCCUAGUGUAGCGGUGAAAUGCGUAGAUAUUAGGAGGAACACCAGUGGCGAAGGCGGCUUUCUGGACAAUAACUGACGUUGAGGCUCGAAAGCGUGGGGAGCAAACAGGAUUAGAUACCCGCGUA
RNAcentral lists this ribosomal RNA (464 nucleotides) under uncultured bacterium. RNAcentral describes it as "bacterial SSU rRNA". It matches the Rfam family "Bacterial small subunit ribosomal RNA", at positions 331 to 792 of the family's 1533-position model. The record is from RNAcentral.